UCUGCAACUCGACUGCAUGAAGCUGGAAUCGCUAGUAAUCGCGAAUCAGAAUGUCGCGGUGAAUACGUUCCCGGGCCUUGUACACACCGCCCGUCACACCAUGGGAGUUGGAAGCACCCGAAGUCGGUGACCUGACCGCAAGGGAGGAGCCGCCGAAGGUGAAGCCAGCGACUGGGGUGAAGUCGUAACAAGGUAGC
This 197-nucleotide ribosomal RNA is filed under the name uncultured bacterium. RNAcentral's name for it is "partial 16S ribosomal RNA". It matches the Rfam family "Bacterial small subunit ribosomal RNA", at positions 1304 to 1500 of the family's 1533-position model. The record is from RNAcentral.